Gossypium hirsutum (cotton) is the source of this 161-nucleotide non-coding RNA. NCBI's taxonomy places the organism in Eukaryota, Viridiplantae, Streptophyta, Magnoliopsida, Malvales, Malvaceae. The record is from Rfam.
AUACUUACCUGGACGGGGUCAAUGAGUGAUCAGGAAGACUCAUGGCCUAGAGCAGUGACCUCCAUUGCACUUGGGAGGGGUGCUGCUUUAAGGUCUCCCCAAGAGGGAGAGCCUACGUCAUAAUUUGUGGCAGUGGGGGCUUGCGUUCGCGCAGCCUCUAU